RNAcentral lists this ribosomal RNA (292 nucleotides) under uncultured bacterium. RNAcentral's name for it is "partial 16S ribosomal RNA". It matches the Rfam family "Bacterial small subunit ribosomal RNA", at positions 505 to 796 of the family's 1533-position model. The record is from RNAcentral.
GUGCCAGCAGCCGCGGUAAUACGUAGGGUGCUAGCGUUGUUCGGAAUCAUUGGGCGUAAAGCGCGUGUAGGUGGUUAGAUAAGUCGAUUGUGAAAUCCCUGGGCUUAACCGAGGAAGUGCAGUCGAAACUAUCUAGCUAGAGGAUGGCAGAGGAAGGUGGAAUUCCAAGUGUAGAGGUGAAAUUCGUAGAUAUUUGGAGGAAUACCGGUGGCGAAGGCGGCCCUCUGGACCAGUCCUGACACUGAGACGCGAAAGCGUGGGGAGCAAACAGGAUUAGAUACCCCGGUAGUCC